UAUUAUACUAAUAAUUAAUAUUAUAAAAUCAAGUUAUUAAUAGAUAUAAGCUAAAAAACUAAAGAAUUUGGCGGUGAUUUAGUCUUGUUAGAGGAACCUGUUUAUUAAAUCGAUAAUCCACGAAGUAUCUUACUUACCUUUGUUAUAGUUUGUAUACCGUCAUUAGCAGAUAAUUUUUAUAAAAUUAAAUUAUUAUUCUUAAAUUUAUUUGUGAAAUUAGAUCAAGGUGCAGCUUAUAGGUAAGCUAAAAUGGGUUACAAUAACUUAAAGUUAUUAAUGAAGUAGUAAAGGAAGUUUUUAUUAUGAAGGAGGAUUUAAUUGUAAUAUAAAUUUAAUAUGUUUAUAUGAUAUAAGCUCUAAAUCAU
This 365-nucleotide ribosomal RNA is filed under the name Sotoplax robertsi. RNAcentral describes it as "partial 12S ribosomal RNA". Lineage: Eukaryota; Metazoa; Arthropoda; Malacostraca; Decapoda; Euryplacidae. The record is from RNAcentral.